This 216-nucleotide ribosomal RNA is filed under the name uncultured Glomus. RNAcentral describes it as "partial small subunit ribosomal RNA". It matches the Rfam family "Eukaryotic small subunit ribosomal RNA", at positions 569 to 788 of the family's 1831-position model. Lineage: Eukaryota; Fungi; Glomeromycota; Glomeromycetes; Glomerales; Glomeraceae. The record is from RNAcentral.
AGCAGCCGCGGUAAUUCCAGCUCCAAUAGCGUAUAUUAAAGUUAUUGCAGUUAAAAAGCUCGUAGUUGAAUUUCGGGUCAGUAGAUUGGUCAUGCCAUUGGUAUGCACUGGUCUUACUGGCUCCUCCUUCCUGAUGAACCGUAAUGCCAUUAAUUUGGUGUUGCGGGGAGACUGGACUGUUACUUUGAAAAAAUUAGAGUGUUUAAAGCAGGCUCG